RNAcentral lists this ribosomal RNA (254 nucleotides) under uncultured bacterium. Its description in RNAcentral is "partial 16S ribosomal RNA". It matches the Rfam family "Bacterial small subunit ribosomal RNA", at positions 524 to 777 of the family's 1533-position model. The record is from RNAcentral.
UACGGAGGGUGCAAGCGUUAUCCGGAUUCACUGGGUUUAAAGGGUGUGUAGGCGGGCUGUUAAGUCAGUGGUGAAAUCUCCGGGCUCAACCCGGAAACUGCCAUUGAUACUAUCAGUCUUGAAUUUUGUUGAGGUAGGCGGAAUAUAUCAUGUAGCGGUGAAAUGCUUAGAUAUGAUAUAGAACACCGAUUGCGAAGGCAGCUUACUAAGCAAAUAUUGACGCUGAGGCACGAAAGCGUGGGGAUCAAACAGGA